This 236-nucleotide unclassified non-coding RNA is filed under the name Hevea brasiliensis (rubber tree). Lineage: Eukaryota; Viridiplantae; Streptophyta; Magnoliopsida; Malpighiales; Euphorbiaceae. The record is from RNAcentral.
GGGGGGGGGGGGGGGGGGGGGGACGGGGAGGAGAGAGAGACACAAUCACAAUGUCACUGAUAAAAAUAAAAUUUAGAAAAAAAAUCUUGCAAUUGCAAUAGAACUUUUCUCUCAAAGCACACUUUUUUUUUUGGUACUUUCAUAUGAAUUAUACUGUACUUUUAUGCAGAUCCAUAGAUUUAGAGGAGACUAAAACUUAGAGUUCCUCAAACCUGUGCGGAAGCAUAUCAUAGCUC